Sapajus apella (tufted capuchin) is the source of this 333-nucleotide RNA transcript. It is a transcript of the gene named transport and Golgi organization protein 1 homolog, with no coding region annotated. NCBI's taxonomy places the organism in Eukaryota, Metazoa, Chordata, Mammalia, Primates, Cebidae. The record is from RefSeq and is a predicted model, not a curated record. The transcript is spliced from 3 exons.
CUCAUAGAGUACACAAGUCAGAAUAAGCCUAUGUCAGUUAUCUGGUCUUUAACAGAUCCAGGAUCUGGUACAGCUGCCAUGAUGAACAACAGCUCAAGAGGCUCUUCCCCUACCAGGAUGAUGGAUGAAGACAAGUAAACUGUUCUCCAAGAGCCUGAAGUCCCCUCAGUUCCCAGCAUUACAUCUUCAGCUGAGCAUCCAGUAGGAGUUAAUAUGACUCCAAAAGGGCCCCCUCCUUUCCCUGGAGUCCCUCUUAUGAGCACCCCCAUGGGAGGCGCUGUACCACCACCCAUUCAAUAUGGACCACCACCUCAGUUCUGUGGACCUUUCGGG